RNAcentral lists this ribosomal RNA (1299 nucleotides) under Jacobsonina sp. RNAcentral describes it as "16S ribosomal RNA". The stretch from base 866 to 1226 matches the Rfam family "Archaeal large subunit ribosomal RNA", at positions 2150 to 2716 of the family's 2987-position model. Lineage: Eukaryota; Metazoa; Arthropoda; Insecta; Blattodea; Blattellidae. The record is from RNAcentral.
UGUUUAUAUAUUUAUUUUUGUGAAUAAUUUUAUUUGUUAAAAAAAUAUUUGCUUGUUAUUGUAUUAAUUUUAGAAAUAAUUUAAUUUGUUAUAGUUUAUUUGUACUUUGAAGGAUUAUUGAAAUAUAUUUUUAUACUUAUAAAAGUUGUUUUUAUUUAAUUGUACCUUGUGUAUCAGGGUUUAUUAAAAAUUAAUAUUUAUAUUAUAUUUCCCGAUUUUAAAAGAGUUACAUAAUUUUAUUAGUUAAUGUUAAAUAAUUAUUAAUAAUAAUUUUGUGGUGGUGAAACAUUAAACGGUUUUAAUGGUAUCUGGUUAUUUAAGAAAUGAAUUUAAUUCAGGUAAUACUUAUUUAUAUUUUUAUUUUUUAGUUUAUAUUAAGUUAUAUACUAAUAUUCUGGGGGAUAAGCUUUGGAGUAGAUUUUUCAAUAAAUUAUUAUUUAUAGUGAGUAAAUUAGAUUUAGAAGUGAUUAUUAAUUGGGGAUGUUAAAGUUUUACUUAUUUAUUAAUUUAUUUAUGUUUUUUUUGUUAUUUUAUUAAAAGUUAUUAAUUAAUUAUUAAUUAAUUGACAUUAUGAUAUAAUUAGUAUAAAUUUAUAGAAUAUGUUUGUUUAUGGUUAAUAAGAAAUUUAUUAGGAAUUAGGCAAUAAUAUGUUCGCCUGUUUAACAAAAACAUCUCUUUCCGGUUGUUUGGAAAGUAUAACCUGCCCACUGAAUUAUUGUUGAAGGGCCGCGGUAUUUUGACCGUGCAAAGGUAGCAUAAUCAUUAGUCUCUUAAUUAGAGGCUGGAAUGAAUGGUUGGACGAGAUAUAUACUGUCUUAUAUUUUAUUUUAGAAUUUAAUUAUUAAGUUAAAAAGCUUAAAUUUGUUUAUGGGACGAGAAGACCCUAUAGAGUUUAAUAUAUUUAUUUGUUUAUACUGUUUGUUUAUUUUAAUAUAAUUGAAUUUAUUUUGUUGGGGUGAUAGGAAGAUAAAUAUAACUCUUCUUUAUGUUUAUUAUUUAUUUGUAUUUAUUUGAUCCAUUAUUAGUGAUUAUAAGACUUAAUUACCUUAGGGAUAACAGCGUAAUCUUUUUUGAGAGUUCUUAUCGACAAAAGGGAUUGCGACCUCGAUGUUGGAUUAAGAUAAACGUUAGGUGUAGAAGUUUAAAAUGUUGGGUCUGUUCGACCUUUAAAAUCUUACAUGAUCUGAGUUCAAACCGGCGUGAGCCAGGUUGGUUUCUAUCUAUAAUUAAUUGUGAUAUUUUAGUACGAAAGGACCAAAUAUUGGGAAUAAUUUUAUUGUUAUUGAAUUUUAUUAAUUU